GACGAACGCUGGCGGCGUGCUUAACACAUGCAAGUCGAACGGAAAGGCCCUGCUUUUGUGGGGUGCUCGAGUGUCGAACGGGUGAGUAACACGUGAGUAACCUGCCCUUGACUUUGGGAUAACUUCAGGAAACUGGGGCUAAUACCGGAUAUGAGCUCCUGCUGCAUGGUGGGGGUUGGAAAGUUUCGGCGGUUGGGUAUGGACUCGCGGGUUAUCAGCUUGUUGGUGGGGUAGUGGCUUACCAAGGCUUUGACGGGUAGCCGACCUGAGAGGGGGACCGGACACAGUGGGACUGAGAGACGGCAAAAAGUCAUACGGGAGGCAGGAGGAGGGAAUCGUACGCAAUGGACGCGAGUCUGACGGAGCAACGAGGCGUGAGUGAAGAAGGUUUUCGGAGCGUAAAACUCGGUUGUUAGAGAAGAAUAAGUGCUAGCGGAAAUGUUAGCGGCUUGACGGUAGCUAACUAGAAAGAAACGGAUAACUACGUG
Molecule: ribosomal RNA, 488 nt
Filed under: uncultured bacterium
Lineage: Bacteria
Description: partial 16S ribosomal RNA
Rfam family: Bacterial small subunit ribosomal RNA
Source: RNAcentral